GCCGCAGAGGAGGAAGACAUUGGGGAGAGACAAAAAGGGUUGCUUUUGACAGAGGAGGGGGGAAUUUCAGGUCAGAAAAUCUGGGACUUUGGGAAGAAGUUAGGUCUUUCAAGUCAGACUGAAGAAGAGGUGAUUGUCCGCCAAAUCGAGAUGCAAGGUAACUUCCUUUCCUUCAAUAAUGCUGGGAGUCAGAUGAAUUGUCCAUGAAUUUACUGUCAUACAACAUUAGGGGCUUGGGGAGUAUUG
This 246-nucleotide long non-coding RNA is filed under the name Salvia miltiorrhiza (redroot sage). RNAcentral describes it as "long non-coding RNA (SMIL_LNC009776)". The record is from RNAcentral. Lineage: Eukaryota; Viridiplantae; Streptophyta; Magnoliopsida; Lamiales; Lamiaceae.